This 1240-nucleotide long non-coding RNA is filed under the name Homo sapiens (human). RNAcentral describes it as "long intergenic non-protein coding RNA 2613". Lineage: Eukaryota; Metazoa; Chordata; Mammalia; Primates; Hominidae. The record is from RNAcentral.
UCAGGCGAGCCGAGCCCCAGAGCCAUGUGUCUGGUGCGCAGUGUUAACAGGGCAGUUAUACCUUUUACAGACAACUGUGGCUCCAAGUCAAGUAUGAACUUACACAAACAGUUUAUAUAACAAGUGGAGGUGUGCGCCUGCGUGCCAAACUUGCUGACUCGUGCAGGCCUGGAUACCCGCCUCAGACUAUUCCUUGACCGAAGCACUUCCAGGGCAGGAAACUGAAGCUCUUGGGAAGGUGGAAGUUGCACGUGGUCUCACAGUCAACUGUGCCAGAAUAGGAGGCCAGGAACCAUCUCUGCUGGAGGAAGACCCACCACGCAUCCCUUCAAGAAUGCCAAGGUCCAGAGCAAGUGCUUCCCUUCUAUGGGCACAGGAGGGCUGUGGGAGCCCACAGAAUGUGCUUCUGGCCAGAGUGGGAUCCCCGAGGAAGAUGUUAAGACCUCUAAUAAUAUUUAAGAGCAAAAUUAGCACAGCUCCAGCCCAUGGGCAAGUUAAGAGACAGGAGUAGUGUCUGUGGAGUGGAGGAAAGCAGAGGCUGCCGCUGACCAUCCUGCAGCCCUCGCUCUGGCUGCUCACAGCUCUCCACCUUCUCUGGACUUCGUCACUUCAGUAUGUGAAACAACCAUUUCAACCAGCUUGGACAAAAGAGAGAAGCCAAGAUGGGGCUGAGAAACCAAUGCAGGCAGGCCCAGGGACCCAGGAGUCAGGGACCAGGUGCUACCAGAUGCUUGCUCCGACUCGUGUUGCUGCUGUCUUCUCUGUGCCUCAACUCUGUCCUCUGUCACUGCAGGCAGCUUCCUCCCAAGGUGAUGGAGACCAUGCCAUUGCUAGUCUACCUUGAAAGACAGAUGUGAAGAAUGAAGUCAGGGGCUUUGCAGCCAUGAGAAGACAUGCCUUGCUUCUCCUCUUCACCUUCUGCCAUGAUUGUAAGUUUCCUGAGGCUUCCCCAGCUAUGCAGAACUAUCUCCAUGGGAUAACCACAUUGGUUUGUUUAGUAAACACUGAGACCAACUCCACCAUCCAGAGGCCUGACAGACAAAUGGCCUGAGACAGGGCUGGGAAAGUUUUGCUUCUGGUUGGGACUUCAGGAAGAGUUUUGUUUUGUUUUGUUUUCCCCCAAGGGAACAAGCCCUUGAAUCCGGGAGGCCAAGGUUGCGGUGAACCGAGAUUGCGCCAUUGCACUCCAGCCUGGGCAACAAGAGCGAAACUCCGUCUCAAAAACAUAAAAAGUAAAAAA